GAUGAACGCUGGCGGCGUGCCUAAUACAUGCAAGUCGAGCGGGAUUGAUUAGAAGCUUGCUUUUGAGAGAUCCAGUGGCAAACGGGUGAGUAAUGCGCAGGUAAUCUGCCGCAAAGUCGGGGACAACGUUCCGAAAGGGACGCUAAUACCGGAUGUUGUACAAACUUCGCAUGGAGCUUGUACUAAAGAUUUAUCGCUUUGCGAGGAGCCUGCGUCCGAUUAGGUAGUUGGUAGUGUAAGAGACUACCAAGCCGACGAUCGGUAGCCGGUCUGAGAGGAUGAACGGCCACAAUGGAACUGAGACACGGUCCAUACUCC
RNAcentral lists this ribosomal RNA (318 nucleotides) under uncultured Veillonellaceae bacterium. RNAcentral describes it as "bacterial SSU rRNA". It matches the Rfam family "Bacterial small subunit ribosomal RNA", at positions 28 to 339 of the family's 1533-position model. Lineage: Bacteria; Bacillati; Bacillota; Negativicutes; Veillonellales; Veillonellaceae. The record is from RNAcentral.